This 638-nucleotide ribosomal RNA is filed under the name Rhizopus arrhizus. RNAcentral's name for it is "Rhizopus oryzae partial large subunit ribosomal RNA". It matches the Rfam family "Eukaryotic large subunit ribosomal RNA", at positions 88 to 658 of the family's 3401-position model. The record is from RNAcentral. Lineage: Eukaryota; Fungi; Mucoromycota; Mucoromycetes; Mucorales; Rhizopodaceae.
GGCGAGUGAGAGGAAGAGCUCAAAGUUGGAACCUGUUUGGCCUAGCUAAACCGGAUUGUAGACUGUAGAAGUGUUUUCCAGGCAAGCCGAGUAAAUAAGUCCUUUGGAACAGGGCAUCAUAGAGGGUGAGAAUCCCGUCUUUGGCUUGAGCAUUUGCCUUUUGUGAUACGCUUUCAAAGAGUCAGGUUGUUUGGGAAUGCAGCCUAAAUUGGGUGGUAAAUCUCACCUAAAGCUAAAUAUUGGCGAGAAACCGAUAGCGAACAAGUACCGUGAGGGAAAGAUGAAAAGAACUUUGAAAAGAGAGUUAAACAGUAUGUGAAAUUGUUAAAAGGGAACCGUUUGGAGCCAGACUGGCUUGUCUGUAAUCAAUCUAGGCUUCGGCCUGGAUGCACUUGCAGGCUAUGCCUGCCAACGACAAUUUGACUUGAGGGAAAAAACUAGGGGAAAUGUGGCCCACUUGUGGGUGUUAUAGUCCCUUAGAAAAUACCUUGGGUUGGAUUGAGGAACGCAGCGAAUGCUUAUUGGCGAGUUUUCCAGGAAGGUUUUCUGAGGUACUACGGUAUCAAGGUUGAUCUUUUUGGUUAUACUUCUAUUCGCUUAGGUUGUUGGCUUAAUGACUCUAAAUGACCCGUCUUGAA